UACGGAGGGUGCAAGCAUUAAUCGGAAUUAUUGGGCGUAAAGGGCGCGUAGGCGGCGCUAUAAGUCAGAUGUGAAAUCCCGGGGCUCAACCUCGGAACGGCAUUUGAAACUGUAGAGCUAGAGGAUAGGCGGAGGAAAUGGAAUUCCACAAGUAGCGGUGAAAUGCGUAGAUAUGUGGAAGAACACCGGUGGCGAAGGCGGUUUCCUAGCUUAUACCUGACGCUGAGGCGCGAAAGCAAGGGGAUCAAAC
RNAcentral lists this ribosomal RNA (250 nucleotides) under uncultured bacterium. Its description in RNAcentral is "partial 16S ribosomal RNA". It matches the Rfam family "Bacterial small subunit ribosomal RNA", at positions 524 to 773 of the family's 1533-position model. The record is from RNAcentral.